This 1354-nucleotide ribosomal RNA is filed under the name Lophocereus schottii. Its description in RNAcentral is "bacterial SSU rRNA". It matches the Rfam family "Bacterial small subunit ribosomal RNA", at positions 8 to 1351 of the family's 1533-position model. Lineage: Eukaryota; Viridiplantae; Streptophyta; Magnoliopsida; Caryophyllales; Cactaceae. The record is from RNAcentral.
AGAGUUUGAUCCUAGCUCAGGAUGAAUGCUGGCGGCAUGCUUACCACAUGCAAGUCUGGCGGACGGGUGAGUAACGCGUAAGAACUUGCCCUUCAGAGGGGAAAAACGGCUGGAAACGGCUGCUAAUACCCCGUAGACUGAGGAGCAAAAGGUGGAAUCCGCCCAAGGAGGGGCUUGCGUCUGAUUAGCUAGUUGGUGAGGUAAUAGCUUUCCAAGGCAAUGAUCAGUAGCUGGUCCAAGAGGAUGAUUAGCCACACUGGGACUGAGACACGGCCCGGACUCCUACGGGAGGCAGCAGUGAGGAAUUUUUCGCAAUGGGCGAAAGCCUGACGAAGCAAUGCCCCAUGGUGGCAGAAGGCCAACUGGUCGUAAACUUAUUUUCCCGGAGAAGAAGCGAUGACGGUAUCUGGGGAAUAAGCACCAGCUAACUCUGUGCCAGCAGCCAUGGUAUGACAGAGGAUGCAAGCGUUAUCUAGAAUGCUUAGGCGUAAAGUGUCUGUAGGUGGCUUUUUAAGUCCCCCGUCAAAUCCCAGGGCUCAACCCCGGACAAGCGGUGGAAACUGACAAGCUGGAGUACGGUAGGGGUAGAGGGAAUUUCCGGUGGAGCGAUUAAAUGUGUAGAGAUCAGAAAGAAUGCCAACGGCGAAAGCACUCUGCUGGACCGAUACUAACACUUAGAGACGAAAGCUAGGGGAGCGAAUGGGAUUAGGUACCCCAGUAGUCCUAGCCGUAAACGAUGGAUACUAAGCGCUGUGCGUAUCGACCCGCACUGUGUUGUAGCUAACGCGCUAAGUAUCCCGUCUGGGGAGUACGUUCGUAAGAAUGAAACUCAAAGGAAUUGACAGGGGCCCGCACAAGCGGUGGAGCAUGUGGUUUAAUUCGAUGCAAAGUGAAGAACCUUACCAGGGCUUGACAUGCUCGAAUCCUCUUAAAAGAGAGGGGUGGCUUCAGGAACGCAGACAUAGGUGCUGCAUGGCUGUUGUCAAUUCGUGUCGUAAGGUUUUGGGUUAAGUCCCGCAACGAGCGUAACCCUCGUGUUUAGUUGUCAACGUUGAGUUUGGAACCUUGAACAAACUGCUGGUGUUAAGCUGGAGGAAGGCGAGGAUGACGUCAAGUCAUCAUUCCCCUUAUGCCCUGGGCGACACAUGUGCUACAAUGGCCGGGAAUUGAAUUAAAUGACAAAGACAUUGUUGAGAAAAGGAUGGAUUUUCCCCGAUGAAAUGAACAUUGGAAAAUAAAAAAUACGCAUGUUUGAUGAAAUGGUUGUUGCUAUCUGCUCUAAUAUCGAAUCAUUGGUUUGAUGAGCAUUCUCAAUAUUAUGCCUUGAAGAGGACUCGAACCUCCAUGCUCUUUA